UUGCUCCUUAUGAAAGUGGCGCACGGGUGCGUAACGCGUAUGCAACCUACCUUUAUCAGGGGGAUAGCCCGGAGAAAUCCGGAUUAACACCGCAUAAAAUCACAGGAUAGCAUUAUCCAAUGAUCAAAUAUUUAUAGGAUAAAGAUGGGCAUGCGUGUCAUUAGCUAGUUGGCGGGGUAACGGCCCACCAAGGCGACGAUGACUAGGGGAUCUGAGAGGAUGGCCCCCCACACUGGUACUGAGACACGGACCAGACUCCUACGGGAGGCAGCAGUAAGGAAUAUUGGUCAAUGGAGGGAACUCUGAACCAGCCAUGCCGCGUGCAGGAAGACUGCCCUAUGGGUUGUAAACUGCUUUUAUCCGGGAAUAAACCUACUUACGUGUAAGUAGCUGAAUGUACCGGAAGAAUAAGGAUCGGCUAACUCCGUGCCAGCAGCCGCGGUAAUACGGAGGAUCCAAGCGUUAUCCGGAUUUAUUGGGUUUAAAGGGUGCGUAGGCGGCCUGUUAAGUCAGGGGUGAAAGACGGUAGCUCAACUAUCGCAGUGCCCUUGAUACUGAUGGGCUUGAAUGGACUAGAGGUAGGCGGAAUGAGACAAGUAGCGGUGAAAUGCAUAGAUAUGUCUCAGAACACCGAUUGCGAAGGCAGCUUACUAUGGUCUUAUUGACGCUGAGGCACGAAAGCGUGGGGAUCAAACAGGAUUAGAUACCCUGGUAGUCCACGCCCUAAACGAUGAACACUCGCUGUUGGCGAUACACAGUCAGCGGCUAAGCGAAAGCGUU
This 780-nucleotide ribosomal RNA is filed under the name Pedobacter sp. P2A7. RNAcentral's name for it is "bacterial SSU rRNA". It matches the Rfam family "Bacterial small subunit ribosomal RNA", at positions 80 to 861 of the family's 1533-position model. Lineage: Bacteria; Pseudomonadati; Bacteroidota; Sphingobacteriia; Sphingobacteriales; Sphingobacteriaceae. The record is from RNAcentral.